This 8520-nucleotide long non-coding RNA is filed under the name Nicotiana tabacum (common tobacco). RNAcentral's name for it is "long non-coding RNA (NTAB_LNC002661)". The record is from RNAcentral. Lineage: Eukaryota; Viridiplantae; Streptophyta; Magnoliopsida; Solanales; Solanaceae.
CGGAAGAAAUAAUUAAAAGCCGAAAUAGUUAAAUAAAACAGUAUUUUAAAGUGCCACUCGACAUAUACAAUAUCAACUCUCGAAAAUCUAAUAACAUUUCCCAAAACCCGAAAUCUCAUGAUCACAAGCCUUUGAAUGUCUACAAGCAUCUAACUUCAGAAUAUCUAACAAAAAAACGAAAGUACAGAAGGGCUAAUACAAAAAAAGAAAGAGUAGAAAGGGACUCUUCAGUCUGCGGACGCGACAUAUAUACCUCAGAGUCUCUACAAGCAUCUCGUCUCAUGAGUGAUAAGUCUGAAUGGAGGUACCUGGAUCUGCACAUGAAAAGCAUGCACAGAAAGGGCAUGAGUACACCACAGCGGUACUCAGUAAGUGCCAAGCCUAACCUCGGUCGGGUAGUGACGAGGAAGGUCAGGGCCCUACUAAGGUUAAAUAAAAGAUAAGGUUUAAUAGUGUAGAACAAAAUAGUAUAAAUAAGUACAACAGUGAAAGUAACACAGGAUAUAAAGGACAUCAACAACUACUACAGAGGCAAAGUAAACAUAGAAAGAAAUACAACUCAACACAAAGAUAACAACCAGGAUCUCCCAGGAUACCGUCCUAUAGUCCAAAAUAUAAAUAUCCAGUGGAUCUCCCGAGAUACCGUCCCGUAUUCCAACUCAUAAUGCGAGGGGAUCUCCCGGAAUACCGAUCCGUAGCCCAAAUGUAAAUACUCAGUACAGGGGGAAUCUACCGGGUGCAGUCCCGUAGUUCCAAUGUAAAUGUGCAGGGGGAUCUCCCAGAAUACCAUUACGUAGUCCCAAAGUAAAUAUACAGGGGGAUCUCCCAGGAUACCGUCCCUUAGUCCCAAAGUAAACACACAACAACAACAGGAAGAGUACACAGUUCAAUUCAAGUUCCAUACCAAGGUAAAACAGGUAAUUCUAACCUAGCAUGCUGCAUGUAAUCCAAAUAAGGUAGUUUGAGCAAGUAAGACAAUUAAGUUAAUUAGACAUGCUUUCCUAAGCUAACAACACGCUUAAAUUGCAAGUAGUAUAAACAGGAAAAGAAACAUACUAGUAAAUACUUAAUGAAAACCGGAUUUUCAACAAUUAGCACAAGUACGCACUCGUCACCUCACGUACAAGGCAUUUCAAUUAUCAAUAAUACCAAAUUCUAAGGGGAAGGUCCCCCACACAAGGUUAGACAAACCACUUACCUCGAACCAGCUCAAAAUCAACCCGAAAUCACGUUCUUGCCACGAGUACUCGACUCCAAAUGGCCCAAAUUUAUUCAAUUCAAUUGCAUAAUGUAAAUAACACUACAAGUAACUGAUUCAACAAACAAAUUCUAGCUAAUACGCGAAAUUAGGUAAAAUGACCAAAAUGUCCCUCGGGCCCACGUCUCGGAAUCAGGUGAAAUUUACAUUUUCAGAAUCCUCAUACUCUCACGAGUUCAUUUAUAUCAAAAUUAUCCAAAUCCAAGGUCAAAUUCCCAAUCAAAAUUUGAAUUCUAGGUCUAAGAACUUUCUUCCAAUUUUCCCAAAUUUUCACCUUCAAUCCGAAAUUAAAUGACAAAACUAACAAUAGAUUAAUGGAAUACAACUAGAAAGGGUUAAAGAAUUGUUACCCAAUGAUUUCCUCUUCAAAUUCCUCCCAAAAUUGCCCUCUCCCGAGCUCCAAUUUGAUUUUUCCAAGUUUUGAACUAAACCCUCGAUUAUGUCCCUUUUCUGACUAGUGAAACCGCAUCUGCGGUCCCGCUUCUGUGAAGACCCUUUCGCAUCUGCGACAUUUCAUUAAAGGGGGACUUCCGCACCUGCGACUGCUCUACCUCAGAUGCGGUGCCCUGAUCGCAUCUGCAGUAAAUUGCCUUUUGCCUCAAACCGCUUCUGCGGUCCCCAAGCCGCAGGUGAGGUUAUGGCAGCAACCUUGAAGCUUCAUCUGCAACUCACAACUCCAAACCUUUCCGUCAAACAUCCGAAAUUAUCCCGAGGCCCCCGGGACCUCAACCAAAAGCACGAACAAGUCCUAUGCCACUAUUCAAACUUAUACCAAUCCUUAAAACACCUAAAACAACAUCAAAACAUCGAAUUAACCAUGGAUUCGAGCCUAAGAACUCCAAAAACUCCCAAAUUAUGCUUUCGAUCAAAAAGUCUAUCAGACCUCGUCUAAAUGACCUGAAAUUUCAUACACACGUCACAUUCAACACUACGGAGCUACCCUAAGUUAGCUUCAAAAAUUCAACUUUCGGCAUUUCAAGCCUAAAUUAGUUACGGACCUCCAAAACAUAAUCUGAACACGCCCCUAAACCCGAAAUCACCUAACGGAGCUAACAAAACCAUCGGGAUUCCAUUCCGAGGCUAUCUUUACACUGUUCCGACUACGGUCAAAUUUUCAAAACUUAAGCUCUCAUUUAGGGACUAAGUGUCCCAAAACUCUCCAAAACUCCAAAUAAACCCUUCCGGCAACUCACAAUAGCAGAAACAAAUACGGAAAAAGCAGUUAAUAGGGAAUCGGGGCGUAAAUUCUUAAAACGAUUGGCCGGGUCGUUACAGAAUGGCACAUAUGAAAUGAUCAUCACGAAAUAUACAAUGUAAAUAAGACAGUAAUGAAGUGGACACAACGACAAGCACAACAAGAUUGACUACAUAGAACUAGACAAAUAUUGCAACACAGAGGAAGACAAUUAAAAGUAUGCUGAGGAAAACAAUAAUCAAAGAGAUGUACAAAAGAAUGGGAAAAUCACAACAAGAUCCCUAUUGAGGUACCGCCUCGUAGUCUCAAAUCAUAAAAUGAAUCACAAAUUUUCCUUAUAUCAUAGCGGGAGCAUUUAUAUUUAGUUUUUGACAAUUAGUUUUCCUGAAAUAGCAUCCUGCAUUUUAGCCCACCUUAUCACACCGCAUGGCUUCUAGUAGUUCCCCUACUAGCCACGUGUUUCAAGCUCACCUUAUCUCAUCGCAUGCAUUUCAACACCAAGAUCUUAUACCACCGCAUGCGUAUAAAUAAUAACAACAACACGUUAGAAACCUCAUGCAACACAAUAACAAUUGCACAGAAGAAACCUCGUGCAAACACAAUAACAACCGCAUGGUAAAAAUCUCGUGGAAACCACUUAAACAUUCUCUAUAGAAUAACACGUGUGCCAAAACAUAACAACUCAAAUAAAUGAUUUUCACAAUAUGUGACCACAUGCCAUAAUAUUUCCUCAAAACAGUUUCAAUAUCACAACCACGUAUAGCUCUCGGCUCAACAACACUGGAUACAACAAAAACAACGACAAUAAUAUGAGAAUACGACAAAUAAAUCAACUCAGUAAAUUCAGAACACAAAGAAACGGAAGAACGAGCUCACAAAGAAAGAUACAACAUGAAUAGCUCAACAAGAAGGAGAUAAUAUGUAGCAAUAAUUCCACAAAAGUAUAAUUCGACGAUAAGAGAGAUAACAUGAAUCAAUGAUUCCAAAUAAAGAUAAGCCAACGAUGAUAAGGGAUAUCAAAACUUCAUUUAGGGUUGAGCAAAUUACGGAAAAGAUACAACAAAUUCAAUUAAGGAUAGACAAUUACAGAAGGAUAAUAAUAACUUCAGUUAAGGAUAGUCAAUUACAGAAAAGAUAAUAAUAACUUCAUUAAGGAUAAACAAUUAGGGAAAAGAUAACAUAGAAAUAAAAGAGGGAACAAUUUCAGUUAAGGCGAAUAAGAGUUUAAUUGGCAACAAGGGUUGAUCAUGAAGCCAUUAAUUCCAAAUAAGACACGUAAGGAUGAAUUUAAUAAGUGGAAAAUUUAACUUGACAAAACAACUUCAUAUAUAAUGAACAUGAGAACCUAAGGACCCUAGACGAUCAAAUUUUCACAAAUAAGUCUGAGCACGUACUCGUCACCUCGCGUACACGGCCUUCACAUGACACAAUUAGCACAAAUAUCUCAAAUCCUAAGGGGUAGUUCCCUCCCCCCCCCCACAAAGUUAGGCAAGAUACUUACCUCAAAAGAGCUAGACUGAUAGUCUAAAAUGACCUUCACGAGUGAAACAACCUCCGAACGGCUCAAAUCUAGCCAAAAUAACUUCAAAUCAUAAAUAAAACUCAUAGGAAACAAUUUAGGAUAAUAAAUCUUCAAUCUUUAGCAAAAACUAAAAAGUCAACCUCCGAGCCCGCACCUCAAAAUCCGAUAAAAUUUACAAAACGCGAACACCCAUUCCAAUACGAGUUCAGCCAUACCAAAAUUAUUAAUUUUCGACAUCAAUUCGUCCUUCAAAUCAUCAUUUUAUAUUAUGAAAGAUUUUUACAAAAUUUUCUAUUUUUCUCAACUCAAGCCACUAAUUUAAUAAUAAAAAUAAAAAUAGAACACGAAAUAUAAUUAAAUUCCAGAUGAAGAACACUUAUUCCAAUGGUUUGCUUGAAAAACUCACGAAAAAUCGCUCAAAUUCGAAGUUUACAACUCAAGAUAUGAUAAAAAUGGCCAAAACCUCGAUUUUGAAAAAUAUAUUCAACUGCCCAGGUAACAUGUAUCGCGAUCGCGAAGAAGAAAUCAUCAACUGCCCAGAGAAACAUUACGCCAACGUGGAGGCAAAAUUUUCCAAGAUACGUGAUCUCGGGCUCCUAUUCGCGAACGCGGAGAACAAUAUUGCCUGCCUCCAAAUUACACUACGAGAACACGAAGGCAUUGACGCAAACGUGAUGAAGGAAACCAGAUGACAGAAUGAGUAACUCUAAAGCAUUACGAAGUGGCCCGUAGCCCAUCCGAAACAUACCCGAGGCCCUCGGGACCCCAUCAAAACAUGCCAACAAGUUCCAUAAUGUAACGCAUACCUACUCGAGGCCUCAAAUCACAUCAAACAACGUCGGAACUACGAAUCACACCUCGAAUCGAACUUAAGAAAUUCCAAAUCUUCCAACUUCCAAACUCGUGCCGAAACAUACCAAAUCAAGCCUGAAUGAUGUCAAAUUUUGCAUGCAAGUCCCAAAUGAUAUAACGGAGCUAAUCCAACUCUCAGAAUUGCAAUCCGAGCCAAUAUCACCAAAGUCGACCCUCGUUCAAACCUCUCAACCUUCCAAAACUUCAACUUUCCAAUUUUUGCCAAAAUUCUUCAAAUUACCCUACGGACCUCCAAAUCCAAAUACGGACGCACGCCAAAGUCCAAAAUCACAUACAAAGCUAUUGGAAUCAUCAAAACUCCAUUUCAGAGUCGUCUACAGAAAAGUCAAAACUCCAGUCAGCUCUUACCGCUUAAGCUUCUAAAACAAGAAUCCUUCUUCCAAAUUGAUCCCGAAUCAUCCGAAAACUGAACUCGACCAUACAUGCAUGUCAUAACACAUAAUACGAAGCUGCUCGAAACCUUAAGCUGCCGAACGAGACAAAAAUUCUCUAAAUGACCGACCGAAUCGUUACAAAUAUUUAUAGCUUAAAUAUUUCCAAUCAACUAUGAGACAAAUGAGAUUAUUUUAUGAAAUUUAUAUACCAAAUACAAAUCUGUGCUUGUUCCUUAGCCAAAUCUAUUGAAAGGAUUAGAUAAUUUUCAUUAAUAAAUUGCAGUAAGAGCAAUAAAACUUAAGUGAUUCUUACCACAUCUAAUAUGUGUAGACCAGAGUAAAUCACUUUGUAAAGUUGACAGUCAUCUGAACUUAUUUAUAGCUUCAAGAUAAUCAAAUUGUAAGCCAAUAACAUUACUUUGUGAAAUGUAUAUGCUAAAUAUAGAUCUCUCUUUCAUUGCAAUCAGAAGCAGAAAAAGAAAAACUUUUCGAUUAAUCAGUUUUAUGAUACUAACUAUUAAAUCCAACUAUGAAUGUAUAAUUAUCGCUUCAUAUUACAAUUCGUUUCGCUAAUAUGAACUAUUUAUAUAAAGAACCUUAUAAAUAUCAUUAGGUACUUUAUUCAUAAAAUUGCAUCAAACACAGUAACAUAAUAUGCUAGAUCAAUUAGUGGUUAAUAGUUCUUUUUACUAUAAAAAUGUAAAUAAAGAACAUGCAAUGCCUUAUCAGUGACAAUCAACUAAACAUAUUUAUAGCUUAAAAGAUUAUGAACCUCUAAUACUCAAUAUUAUUUUAUGAAACUAUAUACUAAAUACAGAUAUGUGCUCUUUCCUUAAUCAAUUAUAUUAGUAGAAAAGAUUAAUUAGUUUCAAAUUUUUAUGUAAAUACUUGUAAGAGUAGUGAAAUUAAGAGAUUAUUACUGAAUGUGAUAAGUGGAGAGCAGAAGCCAAAUCACUUUGUAAAGUUGAAGAGGGCAAGGGAGUGAGUCGGGAACUAAUUCAAUUUUGGAAUUUGGCAGAUAUAAUCCUAGUGAGGCAAAGCAGCUUCAAUUGACAACUUAACGCAACUACAUUCAUAACUCUUGUAAUUGCCUUUGAUCUAGCCAGCCUAUACCCACUCACCUUAUCAGUCGUUAAUUGAAACAUGGAAAACCUAAGCUAAUUGGUCCCGUUGAGGAACAUACUGUACUUUCGUAAUUUUGGACUAUUUGCUUGAAACAAAUAAGUUUAAUCAAACUUAUCCCUGUAAUAAAUCUUUAUGAAAUCCAACUAAUAAAGCUUCUUGAAUGAGAUUCUAAUGUCUAACCUUGUUGAAACAAGGAUUUUCAUUUUAUUGUUCCAAUGUAAAACUCUAUCUGCUUUCACGAAAUCUUCUUUCCAUAACUUCAUAAACAUGAUUUAUUACAGGGAAAAGGGCCAAAAUUGUCCCUAUACUAUCGAAAAUUAGUUACGUUUAUACCCGUUUUUACUUUCGGUCCAAAUAUAGGCCUGCCGUUAAGAAAGUAGACAAAAUCGUCCCUAACCCUAACGGUUGUCCAUGACUCAGCAACUAAAAUGACACGGUGGACUCCAUGUCACUAUUUAUUUUCCAUCUGUAAUAAUAAAUAACUAAACUCACUAAAAUUAGUCUUCUCCUUCUCUAACAAUAUACCACCAUUGCUGCAAAUUCAAGGUUCUUAUCUUGCUCCACAAAAUUAUUUCAUAAAUUUCCAUCAUUACCAGUCAGUGUUUGAACCACAACUCCAACCGUCUUCCACCAAGAAAAUAUCCCAUCUUCUCUCCACCUAGAAAAUCAUCAGCAAUCACUCAUCGGAAAUACCCACCAAAAGCUUCAACAGAAACCAUCUCUUUAAAUACUACCAGCCACUCAUCAAAAAAUUACCUUUCUUUUCUUCCAUCUCUCGCUCCUCUUUACUGGUCAUAACUGGCUAGUGACACUCCUUUUCUACAAAAAGAAGAAGAGCUAGAUCCAGAAGAAAAAAAUCCUCCAUAAAAACUCAUUUACCGGUGACCUCAUGUUUCUUUUUAAAAUUCCACCCAAAGAAAAAAUCUUUUUUUGCUAAGAAAAUUCUUUACUACUUGAACAUAUCUAAACUAGUAAAAUCUUGAUGGAACAAUCUUUUUCGCAAACAAAGAAGAAUCAACUGGGUGAGAAUCGUUUCGGGAAUUUUUGAUCUGUUUUGGACUGAAUAGACCAAAGAAUCUAACAUUGGAAUGCUAAAACUAUUCAAAGCUGCAACUUGUUAUUUAAAUUAGAAUUAGUUAAAUCUUUGUGCCUUGAAUCUUGAAAGUUAGAGAAGAAGAAGAUUAAUUUUAGUGGGUUUAAUUAUUUAUUAUUACAAAAGAAAAAAUAAAUAGUGACAUGGAGUCCACCGUGUCAUUUUAGUUGCUGAGUCAUGGACAACCGUUAGGAUUAGGGAUGAUUUUAUCUACUUUCUUAACGGUAUGCCUAUAUUUGGACCGAAAGUAAAAACAGGUAUAAACGUGACUAAUUUUCGAUAGUAUAGAGACAAUCUUGGCCUUUUCCCCUUUAUUAUAAGUGGAAAAUUAAAGAAAAUGUAUAUGCAAAGUCCAAUCCGCACUAACGUACUAACCAAUCCUCUCCCAAGAUUAGUAGUGAUAUUAUUUUUGGUCUCUUUUCCAACAGCAAAGUAUCCCAAUACCCCAAAAAAACCAUACAUCAAAAAUAUGAAAGCCAUCGACAAACCCAAUUUUUUUUUUUUUUCAAAUUUGUCCUUAUCUUUCAUCUCUGAUUCCAAAAGGUAAAAUCGUUCCAACACCUUUUAAAGCAUAAAUAGAUACACCAAGACCGCGUUGGAAAAAAAACCUAAACCCACCAAAUACUUCAAAAACAUGUCUCUUUUUAAGAAAGAUUAAAACAUCCUCAACCAUAACUACCACCAUAGUACCUGAAUGAACAUCGGCAAAUAUACUCAAAGAGGUUAAGUGAGUAAUUGUGGGGAUUGAAUUCAACCCAAAUUGAAAUGGGAAACAACUCCAAAUAUGUCAGUUUUUUCUGGACGAAUGACAAAAAAUGAUGGACGAAUAAUCUAAUCAGUUUAAACAAUUUAUAUGCAGCAACUAUUCCGAAAAUCAAGAAAACAAGAAACUAAAACUCACCUUAUAACUGAACAAUCAAGGCGAAUAAACUGUCCAGGAAGAGAGCUGACUAAAAGAGACUAGAGAAUUGGAAGAGGAGGUGAGCAGCGGUGGAAAUUUUGAGGAAGAAACAGAGUGUAGAGACUGUGGAAAUCGGGAGGAAACAAAGUGUAGAUGAUAUUCGUUUGAGCGGUGUAAAG